UACGUAGGGGGCGAGCGUUGUCCGGAAUGACUGGGCGUAAAGGGUGCGUAGGCGGCCCGAGAGGUCCUGGGUGAAAGGCCCCGGCUCAACCGGGGAGGGCCCCAGGAAACCGGCGGGCUAGAGGGCUGGAGAGGGCCGCGGAAUUCCCGGUGUAGCGGUGAAAUGCGUAGAGAUCUGAAGGAACAUCAGUGGCGAAGGCGACUCACUGGGCCAUUACUGACACUGAGGUGCGAAAGCGUGGGUAGCAAACAGG
RNAcentral lists this ribosomal RNA (253 nucleotides) under uncultured bacterium. RNAcentral's name for it is "partial 16S ribosomal RNA". It matches the Rfam family "Bacterial small subunit ribosomal RNA", at positions 524 to 776 of the family's 1533-position model. The record is from RNAcentral.